GUCUUCUUGGCUUAGUUGGUUAAAGCGUCGGUCUCAUAAUCCGAAGGUCGUGAGUUCGACCCUCACAGAGGACA
RNAcentral lists this transfer RNA (74 nucleotides) under Glarea lozoyensis 74030. RNAcentral describes it as "tRNA-Met (CAT) (tRNA-Met-CAT-2-1)". It matches the Rfam family "tRNA". From Rfam's summary of the family: Transfer RNA (tRNA) molecules are approximately 80 nucleotides in length. Their secondary structure includes four short double-helical elements and three loops (D, anti-codon, and T loops). RNAcentral also lists the same sequence under 1 other name. The record is from RNAcentral. Lineage: Eukaryota; Fungi; Ascomycota; Leotiomycetes; Helotiales; Helotiaceae.